Molecule: long non-coding RNA, 2878 nt
Organism: Thunnus maccoyii (southern bluefin tuna)
Lineage: Eukaryota; Metazoa; Chordata; Actinopteri; Scombriformes; Scombridae
Exons: 2
Source: RefSeq, a predicted model, not a curated record
UAUUUGAUGCUGAAAAGAUUUUGGGUGAGUGAGCAGUUAAUUUCAUUCUUGACCUUGAAAACUGCAGUUUCACCAAAGAAAAAAAAAAACAAGAAUUAUCAAAAAAUCCAUUGACUCGCUUUUUCUGGAGUUCGUGGAGUUUGCUCAGGUGUCACACUGAAAAUGACCACCUGUUGUCACAUGACUGACGUAUUUAGUAAACAUAAUGACUGAGCUACCUCCAUAACAACUGAGCAAACUCCACUCAAUGAGGAAGAUGUGAAACCUCUGGAAAAAGCUAGUAAGUAAAAUGACAAAUUCUGGUAAUCCUAGCACAUAACUCCCCAUAUACCCACAACUUUUUUACAUUUGAGUACAGCUUCAAUGAAUAAGAUACAUGUCAAUUUGUACACUAGGGAUGUUGGAAGGUAUAUGUUUGAGCUUUGGACAGCGCCAGGCUAGCAGUUUCCUCCUGCCUCCAGUGUUUAUGCUAGGCUGAGCUAAUCGCCUCCAGCUCAAUACUUAGUGCACCAACAUGAGAGUGGUAUCAGUCUUAAGAGUUUAAGUUUAUUUCCCAAAAUGUUAAACUAUUUCAUUAACUUUGUCAAGAAAGCACAUAUUGGUUUACUUUGUAGCAUGUACUGUAGUGUAGCUUUGGGAGAGGUUUUCGAGGUAACUGAAGUAACCAAUGAGAAUAAUGUUUUAUGGUGGAUUUUCCUUUUAAUGUUAAAUUGAUAAAAGCAUCGUGUAUAUGAGUCAUUCCCUAAAUGGACUUUCAUGUGUGGAAACCCAAAUAAUUUUGGAAUUGUGACUUUUUUUCCAGUCAUACCACAGCAAUGGAUAAUGCCAAGUGUUUAGUUUAUAUUCCCUUAACUUUGUAAUAUGCUUUUCUUUUUGACCAGUGUACAGUUCUCAUAACAUUAAGACAGCAAGAUGCUGGUGAAGAGACUUAUCUCCCAAAGGCAGGUUCCUGUUGAUCUGAUGGAAAGAAUCACAUGCAAGUUUGAUGCAUAUUGAAGAUGUUGCAGACCUUGGGGCUACUGAGCCUACAAAGGUCCAACCUUCACAUCAGCUCUUUUGUGUCACCCCAGAGACAAUUGGGGGGCAAUGAAAUUCUUUGCAUCUGUGGCUGUGCUUCAAACUGCUUGUUGGUGUAUUUUAUUGUGCCUCCAAACACCAGGUUCACAGUAUAUGUACGUUAGACUUUUUAACUGCUGGAACGAAAUUUGGAAUUGAACCGACAAAAGUGGUUUAAUGGCUUUUUCAUGCUUUGGUUUGAUUUUAGGGGUAUUACUAACAAAUAGUAGUGCUAAAACCAAGGCUUGCACUAUAGUGGGAAAUGUGAAUGAAAAAAGAUGUGGGAGAACUGUUGUAUGUUGACCAGUUGUGGUCACCGAAGAAUUGGUGCUAAGGAAAAAUUUCUACAAUGGAGAUUUUACUGAUAAGUGUCCUAUAACCGACUGAUGACAUCAUUUUCCAAUCCUGCUGUUUUCUAGUCGCCUGCAAUGGAAACAAAUAGCUUAACAUGAGUACAGUUGAGAUCAUGGUGAACUGCAGAAAAAAUAAUGUGGAAAAAAAGAGUGAACCAUUUGGGAUCCCAAACCAAUAAUUAUGACACUGAACAGCAUGCGUACUUUUUCUUCCCAGGAUCAAGCUGUGUACAUUCAUUUUGAUUCAUCCUGGGACUCAUAAUUGUGUAAGAUGUCAUAGGGGAUACCUACUAGAAACAACUGAGAGAGGAUCCCAAAUGGCAGCAAUGAGGAACACUAUUCCAAAAUGGGUCUUCUUCCAGCUAAAUUUGCCAGCCAGAAGGACUGGAUUAGAAGUCUGUUGUGGCCAUCUGCAGUCCAGACCAACAGAUGAUGGACAUUUUGUAAAGUGACAAUCGACUGUUGAAAUAACUGUAUGUGAGAAAAAGAUCCAUUUCAAUUUGGAAUCUCUGCUUUAAAAGUUUUGGCAGCUGUUUCCAUCAUGAAAUGAAAUGUUAACAUGAAAUAUUAUCACCACAGUUGAUAACAAUACAGAUAGUCACCUUUUAAGAAGUGAGUUAUAAUGUAUGUAUGUUGAUAGUGUUUUCCUGCAAACUGUCACAAAAGUAGUGAAGUCUAUUUGGAAGUGGUAGCUGAACAGUCAUGUUUGUCUUUGAGAGAGUGCUGUUCUAAUGCUCUGGGUGUACAGAGUAGGUAUUUUUUUACCGAUGAUCCAUUGGGUUGCAAGGUGAAUGUUAACUUCCUGUCUUCAUCAGUCCAAUUGUUUGUUCAAAUUUAAAAGAGGCUUUGGACUAAUUAAACAGAUCCUUACUCUUAGAGCUACAACACUGUUGUGUUGCCUCAGAUAUGGUCAUGUGACUAAAGAAUAAACCUGACCUCAUCCACAAACCUUGAUUUUGACUUUACAUCACAAAGUGAUGAGAUAAUACAGAGAGCACAAGAAUCUGAAUUUGGGAGUCACAAUUCAGUUCAGACACUCUCAGUCUUUCUGACUAUAAUACGACUCAGUCAAAUAUGACCAUUUGGCAUCCCUCACUAAGCAUGUGCUCUAGCUGGGGUUACAACAUGGUUCAGGUCGCAAAAAGUCUUGUUCAUCACUCACCAAUCUGCAGCAGAUGUGUCCUCAUCAUUGCUUUGCAGAAUGUAAAUAGCAACAAACACUAAGUAGACACAUUGUGGGCUGUUCAACAGUAGAGUCCCAGAAAGUGAAGACACACAGAGAAUCUGUUGAUACUUAAACCAGGGUAGUCAAAAAAAGCUGUAAACCUUGUGUGCACUUUUGGGCAUUUUUUCUUUUUGUACAUACUAAUAAUAGCAUUUAAGAUGUUUGGGUUUACAUGUCUGGUUAUAGUGCAAUAUAUUUUGUAUGCAAGCAGUUUCAAUAAAUAAAGGUUGAUCUUCCUCUGUUA